UACGUAGGGUGCGAGCGUUGUCCGGAAUUAUUGGGCGUAAAGAGCUUGUAGGCGGUUUGUCGCGUCUGCUGUGAAAAUCCGAGGCUCAACCUCGGACUUGCAGUGGGUACGGGCAGACUAGAGUGUGGUAGGGGAGACUGGAAUUCCUGGUGUAGCGGUGAAAUGCGCAGAUAUCAGGAGGAACACCGAUGGCGAAGGCAGGUCUCUGGGCCACCACUGACGCUGAGAAGCGAAAGCAUGGGGAGCGAACAGG
This 253-nucleotide ribosomal RNA is filed under the name uncultured bacterium. RNAcentral's name for it is "partial 16S ribosomal RNA". It matches the Rfam family "Bacterial small subunit ribosomal RNA", at positions 524 to 776 of the family's 1533-position model. The record is from RNAcentral.